CGGGAUGUAGCGCAGCCUGGUAGCGCGUUUGCUUCGGGAGCAAAAGGCCCCGAGUUCGAAUCUCGGCAUCCCGACCA
This 77-nucleotide transfer RNA is filed under the name Deltaproteobacteria bacterium. RNAcentral describes it as "tRNA-Pro". It matches the Rfam family "tRNA". From Rfam's summary of the family: Transfer RNA (tRNA) molecules are approximately 80 nucleotides in length. The record is from RNAcentral. Lineage: Bacteria; Pseudomonadati; Myxococcota; Myxococcia.